Molecule: long non-coding RNA, 387 nt
Organism: Carya illinoinensis
Lineage: Eukaryota; Viridiplantae; Streptophyta; Magnoliopsida; Fagales; Juglandaceae
Exons: 2
Source: RefSeq, a predicted model, not a curated record
UGUCGGCGGUCCAGAAAGGGAAAAAUAAAAAAUGAAACAAAAAAUAAAAGCCAACCAUAUCUACGAAGCGAAACUGGUGAAGCAAACUCAAUAUCAGUGGAAAGGGUCUUGUUCUCUGGGAAGUUCCGUGAAGAAGAAGGCAGAGAGCACGGAAGAAAUUUCGCGCGAGCGAUGACUCUGAAGUCAGCUAGUCACCAAAGUGAUCCUCCAUGCAAUUGAGUUAUGUAACUUUGUGGUGGCCGUGGCGCCUACGUGGUUCUACUUUAUCCGAAUCUCAAACCUCACACUCACUAUUAUUUGUUUUUUUUAUAAAUUAAUUUAUUUUUAAUAUCAUAUUCUUGAUUAAUUAUCCAUAUGAAUGUGACUUUACUUUCUAGUCUUCUUUUC